RNAcentral lists this ribosomal RNA (569 nucleotides) under uncultured bacterium. RNAcentral describes it as "partial 16S ribosomal RNA". It matches the Rfam family "Bacterial small subunit ribosomal RNA", at positions 355 to 1376 of the family's 1533-position model. The record is from RNAcentral.
UGGGGAAUAUUGCACAAUGGGCGAAAGCCUGAUGCAGCAACGCCGCGUGCGGGAUGACGGCCUUCGGGUUGUAAACCGCUUUCAGCAGGGACGAAGGUUUUCUGACGGUACCUGCAGAAGAAGCACCGGCUAACUACGUGCCAGCAGCCGCGGUGAUACGUAGGGUGCGAGCGUUGUCCGGAAUUAUUGGGCGUAAAGAGCUUGUAGGCGGUCCGUUGCGUCGGAAGUGAAAACUCAGGGCUUAACCCUGAGCCUGCUUUCGAUACGGGCGGACUUGAGGGAUGUAGGGGAGAACGGAAUUCCUGGUGGAGCGGUGGAAUGCGCAGAUAUCAGGAGGAACACCAGUGGCGAAGGCGGUUCUCUGGACAUUUCCUGACGCUGAGAAGCGAAAGCGUGGGGAGCAAACAGGCUUAGAUACCCUGGUAGUCCACGCCGUAAACGGUGGGCACUAGGUGUGGGACCCAUUCCACGGGUUCCGUGCCGUAGCUAACGCAUUAAGUGCCCCGCCUGGGGAGUACGGCCGCAAGGCUAAAACUCAAAGGAAUUGACGGGGUCAUAGCUGUUUCCUG